UACGUAGGGGGCAAGCGUUAUCCGGAUUUACUGGGUGUAAAGGGAGCGUAGGCGGUAAUGCAAGUCAGAAGUGAAAGCCCGGGGCUCAACUCCGGGACUGCUUUUGAAACUGUGUUGCUAGAUUGCAGGAGAGGUAAGUGGAAUCCCUAGUGUAGCGGUGAAAUGCGUAGAUAUUAGGAGGAACACCAGUGGCGAAGGCGGCUUACUGGACUGUAAAUGACGCUGAGGCUCGAAAGCGUGGGGAGCAAACAGG
Molecule: ribosomal RNA, 253 nt
Filed under: uncultured bacterium
Lineage: Bacteria
Description: partial 16S ribosomal RNA
Rfam family: Bacterial small subunit ribosomal RNA
Source: RNAcentral